UCUCAGACCGACCUAACCUAUUCUCGUUCGUUCGGCCGUCGCCGCCGCCGGCCGUCGGCUUCUGCAACUCGGUGGCACAGCCCCCUACCGCCAAACUUUCGACGCCUCUUCUCUACCAAUUACCUCUCCCAGUCGCGCGCUGUUGGCCUCACAAUCGAUUGAAGAUCCUCGGAGACUUUGUCCUCGCUCACCAAAGAGGGCCGAGGUCGUUACAAGGUUCCGGGAGUGGGCCUGGCGGCCAUCGCCUUCUCCAGCGUUGGUUUUUUCUGGUGAUCCUCGUGGCCCUGUAGCUUCGACUGCUGGCUUCUGCGGCGCGCCACUGCACGCGGGGGAGGAGUGGUCCCCCGGCUACUUCGAGCCCGCCACCAACGACCUGCUAGCUCGUGACCUGAUGCCGGGACGUAGUGGCUACACUGGUGAGGGUGGGGACUCUAUCAUGUCUUGGCCCCAUGACGAGUUUUCGAGCACUUCUGUGGACAUGGUUAAUGUGCUAAGGUUGCGAUAAACUAUCAGAUCCGCUCUGUUUUCUCUAGUUUCGAGCCUUCUAUUUUCUUCAAUGAUUCAGACCCAUGACAAGGCUACUCAGAUGGAUGGUGAGAAAAUUGACAUGGAGCAUGAAAAUCUCAGGUUACACUUGGGAGGUAAAAAGACAACGUCUUUUGAUAGUUGAUUUGGAAGAGCAGAUUUGGGACGAAAAGAAGACUACAACAAAUAUGUGACGCCAAGCCUCAAGAUGAUGGCAUUUCUACCAUUUCAGGUUGCGGUGAUAGAAGAGCUGGAGGCGAAAGUUAAAUAAAUAAUAACAAAGAUGUUGCACAAGACAAUAUAAAGGAGCUCCAGGUUCUUAUACAUAAGUUGGUCACAUUUUCGGUGCCGACCCUCAGUGUAGUCAUCGCCUUGGCUGCUGUAUUAACUUACAUGUAUGUAGCUAGAGUAAUUAUUCCAACCAUGUAGAUUCUUCGUUCCUGUAUCUUGGAAAUCAUGUGCUCAAUAGUAAUCCAGUUUGGUACUACUUGUGUUAUUCAAUUUGAUUCA
Long non-coding RNA from Lolium perenne, 1035 nucleotides. RefSeq lists it as uncharacterized. Lineage: Eukaryota; Viridiplantae; Streptophyta; Magnoliopsida; Poales; Poaceae. The record is from RefSeq and is a predicted model, not a curated record.